Molecule: long non-coding RNA, 480 nt
Organism: Sinocyclocheilus rhinocerous
Lineage: Eukaryota; Metazoa; Chordata; Actinopteri; Cypriniformes; Cyprinidae
Exons: 2
Source: RefSeq, a predicted model, not a curated record
AUCUUUGGUUCUCAAUUUUGUGCACUUCUUGCUUGCCUUGAACUCUGGAAACACCAUGUCGCGCAAUAGUUUAAGAGUUUCUGUGUUGGAAAGACAGCAAGAAGAGGCCGUUGGUGGUGGAUGAAAUGAACAAUGACAAAAAUCUCUUUCUCUCUCUCUCUCUUCUGUCUUGAGGGUAUGCUCAGGGUGUUGGCCAUAAUCAUCUUUCUCUUAAAACUGUCAUUUUUCUUUCCCUCCAUUUCUGAAAACUCCCACUCUUCAGACAGUUAAGGCCCACCCCUUCACUCCCAUCUGCUUGCCUCCAGAGGGCUAUAAACCAGUUCUGUGUGUUAUAUUGUUUAUACUUUUGCCUGCAUCACUAUGCUUUGCAAUGAAUUUUUCACAAAAAAAUUAAUUCAUGAUUGUGUCCUUACAAAAAGGGUUUAUCUGUAAAGCUAUAGUAUAUCUGAAACGGAGAAUAAAGAUUUUUAAUGUUUUGAA